RNAcentral lists this ribosomal RNA (549 nucleotides) under uncultured Glomeromycotina. Its description in RNAcentral is "SSU rRNA". It matches the Rfam family "Eukaryotic small subunit ribosomal RNA", at positions 548 to 1098 of the family's 1831-position model. The record is from RNAcentral. Lineage: Eukaryota; Fungi; Glomeromycota.
UUGGAGGGCCAGUCUGGUGCCAGCAGCCGCGGUAAUUCCAGCUCCAAUAGCGUAUAUUAAAGUUGUUGCAGUUAAAAAGCUCGUAGUUGAAUUUCGGGAUCAGCAAGUUGGUCGUGCCUCUGGUACGUACUGUCUUCACUGGUUCCUCCUUCUUGAAGAACUGUAAUGUCAUUAAUUUGGUGUUGCAGGGAAACAGGACUGUUACUUUGAAAAAAUUAGAGUGUUUAAAGCAAGCUAACGCUUGAAUACAUUAGCAUGGAAUAAUGAAAUAGGACGUUUGAUCCUAUUUUGUUGGUUUCUAGGAUUGACGUAAUGAUUAAUAGGGAUAGUUGGGGGCAUUAGUAUUCAAUUGUCAGAGGUGAAAUUCUUGGAUUUAUUGAAGACUAACUACUGCGAAAGCAUUUGCCAAGGAUGUUUUCAUUAAUCAAGAACGAAAGUUAGGGGAUCGAAGACGAUCAGAUACCGUCGUAGUCUUAGCCAUAAACUAUGCCGACUAGGGAUCGGAUGAUGUUAAUUUUUUAAUGACUCAUUCGGCGCCUUACGGGAAAC